Molecule: long non-coding RNA, 974 nt
Filed under: Oncorhynchus kisutch (coho salmon)
Lineage: Eukaryota; Metazoa; Chordata; Actinopteri; Salmoniformes; Salmonidae
Description: lncRNA (ENSOKIG00005016577.1)
Source: RNAcentral
AAAGGUAUAUAUGGUUGUGAUAAUCUUUUUGCAGGCAGUCAUGUUCUUUGGAAGAAUGUAUUUGCCAUUUUGGCAGUAUAGUUUUGAUGAUGUAUUUGCUUUUUGAGAAGGCAACUACAUAUGCAUUUACUGUUUUGCAAAAGGCUACAGAGUUCUGUGACUGUUUUGAAAAUGGGCAACAUUGUUCCAAAAAAUGCUUGUACAUGAUUGAGAAACUCUAACUGAUCUUUCAUAACCCAAGGUAACAGUGAUACACAAACUGUCUCUUUAUACGUCUUCCCUUUAGUACAAUAACAGCGAUACUGGGUGCACAUCCAGGUGGAACACCUAAACCAGAAGAGGUCCAGAUUCCUGAAGAAAACAUACGACGUUAUAUAGAAAGACAAGUCAGUCAUGACAUCAUGCUGCUGAAGCUGCCUAAGGCAUACCCUCAGUUCACUACCAUUCAGCUUCCUCCCUCUACAUGCCAGACACCUGAGUUGAAGGAGAAUGUGAGAAUUGCAGGCUGGAGUUACACAGAAGGUGAAUAACACACAGAGUUGAGUGAUGCACAAGAACCUACUUGCAGGAUUUAUAUCAUUUUCUCUUAUCUAACUCCACAGAUGGUAGGUAGAAAGCCAGAGAAACUACAGUGUUCAAAAUCAGGAGACCUCCAAGUCACUGAGUGUUACCCCACAGAAGAUGCUCAAACCAAAAUUCAAAUGCGAUUCUGCGCAGCAGCUCCAGGGAAGAUGGACGCCUGCCAUGGGGACUCUGGAGGAAGUCUGAUGAACAAAGAUGGCCUCCUGUAUGGUGUGACCUCACGGGCUAGUAAAACAGAGUGUAAAGUUCCAAUCAACUUCAUGGAUGUUUGCAAGUACCGAGGAUGGAUAAUGGAAGAAAUCAAUAAAGAUAAUUCAUUGAAUAGUGAGUAAACAAAUGAUGUACUCCAAAUAAAAGGUGUUCUCAGAUCUCCAGAUCUCCUUGAGUGAAUC